AGUAUCCCCUAAACAGUAUUAUAGUUUCCCAUGUCCAAAUCAUCUUAAAGUAACUUUAUUGCGUUCCAUAAUCGAGUGUAGAGACAUUGGGAUGAUUUUGACAUGGAACAUAAAACACCAAACAUAAAAAACCCAACAUAAAACACCGAACAUAAAACACCGAACAUGAAACACCAUGCAUGAAACACGAAACAUGAAACCCGAAACAUGAAACACUGAUCCAAAGUUCAUGCAACAUCUGACCAGACAGACGUCACACCAUAAAUCCACUGGCCUCAGCAUCAAAACUGUAGUAUAAUGUUAUCAUGACUGGCCAAUCUAUUAUUAUUUUUAGUGUGGUUGAUUAUGUUGUUAUCACUAUUCAUAUUCUUGUGGUUUUGUUUUUGCGAUAACUGACUAUUUGUAUAAUAUACAAGCAGAAAAUAAAAAAGAUAGAUACAUUUACCAUAAAUAAAUUCCCAUGCAUGUGAAGUAUUUGCAUAAUGGGAACGAUUCUACUUUGUUUACAUUGUUUUGGGCAAAAUAAGGGGGCGGUCAAAGUCUUGUGGCCCAACACACACCUCCAUUCUCAGAAGCACUGUGUGCUCUGCUCUCAGUACGACUCCCUUUCUAAUAUUUACAUUAUUUACAUUUUAGUCAUUCAGCAGACGCUCUUAUCCAGAGCAACUUACAGGAGCAAUUAGAGAUAAGUGCCUUGCGCAAGGCCACAUAAAACCUAUUUUUCACCUAGUCAGUUCGGGGAUUCAAACAAUCAACCUUUCGGUUAUUGGCCCAAAGUUCUUAACCGCUAGGCUACCUACCUAAUAUCAAGGCCUUAUUUGCCCAGUAAUUAUUUAUCAAUGGUGGGAAAGCCACCAAUGCAAACAGAAACUGUUCCCAUAAACAGACAUGGUUUGCAGAGUACACGGGCCAGGGGAUGGCAACCUCAUGGGUAUAAGACUGGCACUCUUCUGCUGCCCUGGCACUGUUGUUUAAUCCAGCUAGUGCACCACAGGGCAGACAUAGAAAAAUAUAGCAAGGCUUCAAGUAGACUACAGGAGAUAUACUCUAGUGACAAGGAGUCAGACAUGUUGGUCCUGUGUGUCAUCUCUGUCCUCAGCCUUCUCUCAGUGGGACUGGCAGCUCCUCUGUCCUGUGAGGAUCUACUGAGACCAGCACGAACCAUAUUUUGGGUAAGUGGAUUUUUAUCGCGGAGAGCACUGAGGUCCCUGGUGGCAGGGAGUAUGCUGCAAAAGAAUGGAUCACAGGCUGGCUUCAGAUCUCUCCUGGGCUCCAGAACAACACUGUCAAAGAAUUACAGAUGAUAAACAUGUAAGAAAAGGAUUAACUUUCAAUGCGCUUCAUGUUUAUUGUAUGUUGACUGUAUGCAUACCGUACCAGAAAUGUGAAUGUGAAAAACGUGUUGAAAAUGAAAUAAUAACAAACAUCGUUGUAACAAAAAUUGUAAUUGUAACACGUAAAAAUUACCCCGUCUUUGCUUUUACAAACACUUGAAACCCCAGCUAGCACAAAACAUUUUAUGUUUCUUAGAGAAUGGUGAGAGUGUGGUUGUCCUAUGGUUCUUUUUCUGCAACCUUCCCACAACGUUCUGGGAAUGUUGUAGGAUAGUUGUUUUGUUUUGGAACAUUCUCAGCACAUUUAGGAACUUCACACAAAAAAAACGUUUCUUACUAUUUCAUUACCUUAACAGAAAAUGUCCUAUAAGGUCACACAUAGUUAUUUUACUGUUAAUGUAAUAAUUCAUAAUAUUAUGGGAGUUCAGAGGACUUCUUUAAACACUCACAAUUAUUAUUUUUUUGCAUUUUUGAUCAUCAUGAUAUUGUGGCCGAUAACACAUUGAUUAAUGAAUAGCUCGAAUAUUCAAUAUCUUGAAAACGUGACUGCUGACAUGCAAAACAUUGUGGGACUGUAUCAACAGUGGACUAACGGAAAAAAUACCAAGAGUUUACCUUUUUAAAAAAGGUCCAACGCAGCUGUUUUUAUCUCAAUAUAAAAUCAUUUCUGGUUAACAAUGAAGUACCUCACUGUAAUUGUUUUCAAUUCAAAUAUACAAAAAUCUUCUCCACAAGCAAUUUCUAAAGCAAGUAUUUUGCUAUAACUGGGGAGUGGAACUCAUUUUUAUUGGUCUAUAUAAUUUAGCUCCUGGUGAUGUCACCAGCCAGGCCAAAACUCCAUCCCGCCAAAACAGGCUGAAAUUACAGGCGGUCAUUUCAAACAGCUCUUACACUAAAAGGGAAUUAUCAUAAUUUUCACAAUUUCGCAGUAUUAUUCCAACUUCAGUGAGGAAAUAUACUGUAUAUAAAGCAUAGGAAAAUCAAGUUUCUUUACUGUACUGUGCCUUUAAGUAAAUCAGAUGAUAUAUUAGGUGAAAGGGAGACAUUUUAGUAAAUGUUCUCCUAACAUUUACUGAAAUGUUGUUCACAACAUCUGUAAAAACUACCACAGGUUUCCAGGGAUGUAAUGUUCCUGUAAUGUUUUUACAAUAUACUGCCACAAAAAAUAAUAUUAUCAAUACGUCCCUGUGCCCAAGAAUGCCACGGUAACCUGUCAAAUUGACUAUGGCUGUAGUACUCCCAUCUGUAGCAAUGAAACAGCUUUGAAAGGCUGGCUCACAUGGCUCACAUCAACACCAUCAUCCAAGGCACCCUGGACCCAAUUCAAUUCGCAUACAGUCCCAACAGAUCCACAGAUGACUCAAUCUCAAUUGCUCUUCACACUGCCCUCUCUCACCUGGACAAUGCUGUUCAUUGACUACAGCUCAGCGUUCAAUACCAUAGUGCAGUCUAAGCGCGUCACUAAGCUAAAGACCCUGGAACUGAACACCUCCCUCUGCAACUGGAUCCUGGACUUCCUGAUGGGCCGUCCCCAAGUGGUGAGGGUAGGCAAAAACACAUCUUCCACGCUGACCCUCAACAUGGGGGCCCCUCAGGGGUGCGUGCUUACUCUCCUCCUGCACUUCCUGUUGACCCACAACUGCGUGGCCACGCACGACUCCAACAACAUCAUUAAGUUUUCUGAUAGCACAACCGUGGUGGACAACGACAACAUAUCCCUCAAUGUCAGCAAGAAAAAGGUACUAAUCGUGUACAACAGGAAACGGAGGUCCGAGCAUGAACCCAUUCACAUCAACGGGGCUAUAGUGGAGCGAGUCGAGAGUUUCCUCGGUGUCCACAUCACUGAGGAAUUAACAUGGUCCACACACACCAACACAGUCAUGAAGAAGACAUGACACCGCUUCUUCCCCCUCAGGAGGCUGAAAAGACUUGGCAUGGACACUCAAAUCCUCAAAAAGUUCUACACCAUUGAGAGCAUCUUGACUGGCAGCAGAGGGUGGCGCUACAGAGAGUUGUGCGGACAGCCCAGUACAUCACUGGGGCCAAGCUCCCUGCCAUCCAGGACCUCUAUAGCAGGCGGUGUGAAAGGAAGGCUAGGAAAAUUGUUAAAGACUCCAGCAACCCAAGCCAUACACUGUUAUCUCUGCUUCAGCAUGGCAAGCGGUACUGGAGCAUCAAGUCUGACACCAACAGGCUCCUGAACAGCUUCUAUUCCCAAGCAAGGUUUGAAAUUAUUGUUUUAAUCAAAUAUUAUACACGUAUAUGUCUGGGCUUCUUACGGUUAAUAUGCACUCUACAAAUUAAUUGUCAUUAUGUUCUGUUUCCCUGACCAUCUGUUCAAGGCAAAAUAUGUGCCAUAACCAGGCUUCCAAAGCUCUUUAUGAUUACAGAUGUGUCACGCCCUGGCCAUAGAGAGGCUUUUAUUCUCUAUUUUGGUUAGGCCAGGGUGUGACUAGAGUGGGCAUUCUAGUUUCUUUGUUUCUAUGUUUUGGCCGGCUACGGUUCUCAAUCAGGGAGGGUCCCCAGUCCAGAGGCGCCACCAAAGUGGGGGGAGCCAGAGGUGGAGCGGGGUCUGCGCCCCGCACCGGAGCCGCCACCGAAGUAUAUGCCCACCCGGACCCUCCCCAACUAUAGAGUCAGGUUUUGCGGCUGGAGUCCACAACUUUGGGAGGGGGUGUCACGCCCUGGCCAUAGAGAGGCUUUUAUUCUCUAUUUUGGUUAGGCCAGGGUGUGACUAGGGUGGGCAUUCUAGUUUCUUUAUUUCUAUGUUUUGGCCGGGUAAGGAUCUCAAUCAGGGACAGCUGUUUAUCGUUGUCUUUGAUUGGGAAUCAUACUUAGGCAUACUUUUUUCCCACCUGUGUUUGGUGGGUAGUUGUCUUUGUUAGUGGCCUGUAUAGCCCUAGUAAGCUUCACGUUCGUUGUAGUUGUUUCUUGUUUUGUUGGCAACAUUUAUAAUGAAAGAGAAUGAACGCAUACCUGGCUGCACCUAGGUCCAGUCAUUUCCGUGACGACGGUCGUGACAAGAUGUGAGUGCUACAGGUCAGAUGUGAGUGCUAAUGUCCCCACAUUGUUCUCACAGCAUAAUGAAAUGUUUUGUAAACUUUAAAAUAACAUAACGAAUGUUCUGUUAACAUUCUUGCAACAUCAGAGGAAUGUUUUUUCCACAUAAAUACCUAAAUUCUAUAAUCAUCAACACAACAGAUUGCGUUAUUACAACAUUUAGGGGGAAUGUUCUUACACCUUUCCCACAACUUAAUAAAAUGGUCUGGGAACAUUCACAGAAUCAGUUUUGGUUUGCUGGGUAUACUCUGGGAACUAGAGGUCGACCGAUUAUGAUUUUUCAACGCCGAUACCGAUAACAAUUAUUGGAGGACCCCAAAAAAAGCCGAUACCGAUUAAUCGGCCAAUUUUUUAUGACCGCUCCGUCUGCCCCUUUUUACGCCGACGUUGUUUUGGUUUCCCGGCUGGGAUUCGAUCCAUUGUCUUGGGUGGUGGGCAAAACAGAGGAUUGGCUUCAGGAAAGUCGUAUUCCUGGUCGUAAUGUUGGUGGUUUGACGUUGCUCUUAUAUCCGAUAGUUCCUCCCGACUGUAUGUAAUAAAACCUAAGAUUACCUGGGGUACCAAUGUAAGAAAUAACACGUAAUUUAAAAAAAAAUACUCCAUAGUUUCCUAGGAAUGUGAAGCGAGGCGGCCAUCUCUGUUGGCGCUGGAAGUAUACAAUAUUAACUAAAUAUGCAUGGUUUAAAAUAAAUACUUGUGUAUUGAUUUUAAGAAAUGUGUUGAUGUUCAUGGUUAGGUACACAUUGGACAGUGCUUUUUUUCGCGAAUUUUGCUUGUUAAAUCACCCGUUUGGCGAAGUAGGCUAUGAUUCAAUGAUAAAUUAACAGGCACCGCAUCGAUUAUAUGCAACGCAGGACAAGCUAGGUAAACUAGUAAUAUCAUCAACCAUGUGUAGUUAACUAGUGAUUAUGUUAAGAUUGAUUGUUUUUUAUAAGAUACGUUUAAUGCUAGCUAGCACCUUACCUUGGCUCCUUACUGCACUCACACAACAGGUAGUCAGCCUGCCACGCAGUCUCCUUGUGGAGUACAAUGUAAUAGGCCAUGAUCAGUGUCCAAAAAUGCAGAUUACCGAUUGUUAUGAAAACUUGAAAUCGGCCCUAAUUAAUCGGCCAUUCCGAUUAAUCGGUUGACCUCUACUGGGAAGGUUGUCAAAUUGUUUGACAUUAGGAAUGUUCUCGGAACAAAGACAAUUUAGAGAAAUGUGUUUUGAGUGUAAUGUGAUGAAUGUGUUUUUUAUCAUUUAAUUUGCGGUUGAAUACUGUAGUAUAUUUAUCUCAGUUCAUUACUCAACAGUGGAGGCAAAUGCAUUAGCAUGACCAGUGAAAUUACCAUGGAAAACAACACAUUUACCUCAACGGGACCUUUGCUCUAUUCCCUGACCUACCUGAAUACCUGCCCUGACUGCCUCCUUGUCCAACAGAAGUUGUCAUUGGUUAGCAAAUACAGCACUCUGUAUAUCUUCAGUAAGAGAAAGGAACUGACCUCUGCUGAACUGGAAGUGUUUAAGAAACAGGUGGACUGUCUCAAUUUGCCACCAGCUGUGUUCACAAACCCACAGAAAGAUUCCUGUCCAGAUCCGACACAGGACAACAGCAAAACACUGGACCUUGCGAAAGUGAUCGAAUUGCUGAGUGACACGAUUGAUCUUCAGAAGACUUUAGAAGAGAUGAUAAGUAAAUUACAACUAGCGAGUAAUAAAGCCGAUUAAUUGUCAAAAUGUCAAGUGAAGCCUAUUAUGUAUUUUUUCAUAUAAUACAUUUAAAAAAUAUAUUUCAAAAAUAUAUUUAGAAA
RNA transcript from Oncorhynchus keta (chum salmon), 6185 nucleotides. RefSeq lists it as uncharacterized. The transcript is spliced from 5 exons. Lineage: Eukaryota; Metazoa; Chordata; Actinopteri; Salmoniformes; Salmonidae. The record is from RefSeq and is a predicted model, not a curated record.